This 255-nucleotide ribosomal RNA is filed under the name uncultured bacterium. RNAcentral's name for it is "partial 16S ribosomal RNA". It matches the Rfam family "Bacterial small subunit ribosomal RNA", at positions 524 to 776 of the family's 1533-position model. The record is from RNAcentral.
GACGUAGGGCGCGAGCGUUGUCCGGAUUUAUUGGGCGUAAAGAGCUCGUAGGCGGCUUGUCGCGUCGGCUGUGAAAACCCGCGGCUCAACUGUGGGCGGGGUCGGCGGAUACGGCCGAGCUGGAGCAAGCUAGGGGGUAAUGGAAUUCCCGGUGUAGUGGUGGAAUGCGUAGACAUCGGGAGGAACACCAGUGGCGAAGGCGGUUACCUGGAGCUUUGCUGACGCUGAUGCGCGAAAGCGUGGGGAGCGAUCCGG